Molecule: ribosomal RNA, 443 nt
Filed under: uncultured bacterium
Lineage: Bacteria
Description: partial 16S ribosomal RNA
Rfam family: Bacterial small subunit ribosomal RNA
Source: RNAcentral
CCUACGGGAGGCCGCAGUGGGGAAUCUUUGACAAUGGGGGGAACCCUGAUCCAGCGACGCCGCGUGAGUGAAGAAGUCUUUCGGUAUGUAAAGCUCUAUCAGCAGGGAAGAAAGAAAUGACGGUACCUGACUAAGAAGCCCCGGCUAACUACGUGACAGCAGCCGCGGUAAUACGGCGGGGGCAAGCGUUAUCCGGAUUUACUGGGUGUAAAGGGAGCGUAGACGGCGAUGCAAGUCUGAAGUGAAAGGCGGGGGCCCAACCCCCGGACUGCUUUGGAAACUGUAUGGCUGGAGUGCAGGAGAGGUAAGUGGAAUUCCUAGUGUAGCGGUGAAAUGCGGAGAUAUUAGGAGGAACACCAGUGGCGAAGGCGGCUUACUGGACUGUAACCGACGUUGAGGCUCGAAAGCGUGGGGAGCAAACAGGAUUAGAUACCCUAGUAGUC